This 112-nucleotide non-coding RNA is filed under the name Protocruzia adhaerens. The record is from RNAcentral. Lineage: Eukaryota; Ciliophora; Spirotrichea.
CUUUUUUUGUUUCUUCUUCUUGCAGCGGUGUUUUAUGUAUGAUUUUUAUAAAAAUCCGGUAUUACGGUAGUGAGGACAGAUUUUGCACUCGAGGAUUUGAAUAUCAAAGGCA